This 497-nucleotide ribosomal RNA is filed under the name uncultured bacterium. Its description in RNAcentral is "partial 16S ribosomal RNA". It matches the Rfam family "Bacterial small subunit ribosomal RNA", at positions 28 to 507 of the family's 1533-position model. The record is from RNAcentral.
GAUGAACGCUGGCGGCGUGCCUAAUACAUGCAAGUCGAGCGAACAGAUGAGGAGCUUGCUCCUCUGACGUUAGCGGCGGACGGGUGAGUAACACGUGGAUAACCUACCUAUAAGACUGGGAUAACUUCGGGAAACCGGAGCUAAUACCGGAUAAUAUAUUGAACCGCAUGGUUCAAUAGUGAAAGACGGUUUUGCUGUCACUUAUAGAUGGAUCCGCGCCGCAUUAGCUAGUUGUUAAGGUAACGGCUUACCAAGGCAACGAUGCGUAGCCGACCUGGGAGGGUGAUCGCCCACCCUGGAACUGAGACACGGUCCAGACUCCUACGGGAGGCAGCAGUAGGGAAUCUUCCGCAAUGGGCGAAAGCCUGACGGAGCAACGCCGCGUGAGUGAUGAAGGUCUUCGGAUCGUAAAACUCUGUUAUUAGGGAAGAACAAAUGUGUAAGUAACUAUGCACGUCUUGACGGUACCUAAUCAGAAAGCCACGGCUAACUACGUG